ACGGAAGGUCCGGGCGUUAUCCGGAUUUAUUGGGUUUAAAGGGAGCGUAGGCCGUCUGGUAAGCGUGUUGUGAAAUGUCGGGGCUCAACCUGGGCAUUGCAGCGCGAACUGUCAGACUUGAGUGCGCGGGAAGUAGGCGGAAUUCGUCGUGUAGCGGUGAAAUGCUUAGAUAUGACGAAGAACUCCGAUUGCGAAGGCAGCCUGCUGUAGCGCAACUGACGCUGAAGCUCGAAAGCGUGGGUAUCGAACAG
This 251-nucleotide ribosomal RNA is filed under the name uncultured bacterium. RNAcentral describes it as "partial 16S ribosomal RNA". It matches the Rfam family "Bacterial small subunit ribosomal RNA", at positions 525 to 775 of the family's 1533-position model. The record is from RNAcentral.